GUUCUCUCCCAUACUUCAAACGAUUCAAAGCCAUCUUAUAAUGCCUGAAUGAGAAACUAAUGAAAGAAAGAAAGAUUGACACACGGCAUGGAAUAGAGAAAGAGUGACAUCCUUCUAAGAGAGAGAAAGAGAGCCCCUCGUCCACGCCAUGGCUAUGGACGUCUUGCCCUUUGUCACAAACCUUAAUCGUACUCCAUAGCUUCUUAUUGGAGCUCCAUAUCAUCUUCAAUUCAUCUUUAUGUUGCUGUAACCUGCUACGAAUCCUCAUUUCCAGCAAGAUGUUUACUCUCUCGUGGUGCUACGAAUUAGUCUCCAAAGUAUUCCAAAGUGUGCCAAUAGUAUGCAUUUAAAACUUAUUUUGCGCUUGCCAUUGGAGCGUGAUAGGGCUCGGAUCCCUUUUAAUAUUAGUGGAAAAGCUGGUGUACGGUGUACGAAAUCCUAUGGAUGUAAUUCCAGGCAAAUUGCUUGAGUUUUGGCUUCUUAUGUCUUGCGACUUCCAUGCACAUAUUUGUAAAAAUGUUUGCAUUUAAUGAUAUUGCAUUUUAAUUGAAUAAUUGUACGAG
Molecule: long non-coding RNA, 563 nt
Filed under: Amborella trichopoda
Lineage: Eukaryota; Viridiplantae; Streptophyta; Magnoliopsida; Amborellales; Amborellaceae
Description: long non-coding RNA (ATRI_LNC003260)
Source: RNAcentral